UUCGGGGUACUCGAGUGGCGAACGGGUGAGUAACACGUGGGUGAUCUGCCCUGCACUUUGGGAUAAGCCUGGGAAACUGGGUCUAAUACCGAAUAGGACCACGCGCUUCAUGGUGUGUGGUGGAAAGCUUUUGCGGUGUGGGAUGGGCCCGCGGCCUAUCAGCUUGUUGGUGGGGUAAUGGCCUACCAAGGCGACGACGGGUAGCCGGCCUGAGAGGGUGACCGGCCACACUGGGACUGAGAUACGGCCCAGACUCCUACGGGAGGCAGCAGUGGGGAAUAUUGCACAAUGGGCGCAAGCCUGAUGCAGCGACGCCGCGUGAGGGAUGACGGCCUUCGGGUUGUAAACCUCUUUCAAUAGGGACGAAGCGCAAGUGACGGUACCUAUAGAAGAAGCACCGGCCAACUACGUGCCAGCAGCCGCGGUAAUACGUAGGGUGCGAGCGUUGUCCGGAAUUACUGGGCGUAAAGAGCUCGUAGGUGGUUUGUCGCGUUGUUCGUGAAAACUCACAGCUUAACUGUGGGCGUGCGGGCGAUACGGGCAGACUAGAGUACUGCAGGGGAGACUGGAAUUCCUGGUGUAGCGGUGGAAUGCGCAGAUAUCAGGAGGAACACCGGUGGCGAAGGCGGGUCUCUGGGCAGUAACUGACGCUGAGGAGCGAAAGCGUGGGGAGCGAACAGGAUUAGAUACCCUGGUAGUCCACGCCGUAAACGGUGGGUACUAGGUGUGGGUUCCUUCCUUGGGAUCCGUGCCGUAGCUAACGCAUUAAGUACCCCGCCUGGGGAGUACGGCCGCAAGGCUAAAACUCAAAGGAAUUGACGGGGGCCCGCACAAGCGGCGGAGCAUGUGGAUUAAUUCGAUGCAACGCGAAGAACCUUACCUGGGUUUGACAUGCACAGGACGCCGGCAGAGAUGUCGGUUCCCUUGUGGCCUGUGUGCAGGUGGUGCAUGGCUGUCGUCAGCUCGUGUCGUGAGAUGUUGGGUUAAGUCCCGCAACGAGCGCAACCCUUGUCCUAUGUUGCCAGCGGGUUAUGCCGGGGACUCGUAGGAGACUGCCGGGGUCAACUCGGAGGAAGGUGGGGAUGACGUCAAGUCAUCAUGCCCCUUAUGUCCAGGGCUUCACACAUGCUACAAUGGCCGGUACAAAGGGCUGCGAUGCCGUGAGGUGGAGCGAAUCCUUUCAAAGCCGGUCUCAGUUCGGAUCGGGGUCUGCAACUCGACCCCGUGAAGUCGGAGUCGCUAGUAAUCGCAGAUCAGCAACGCUGCGGUGAAUACGUUCCCGGGCCUUGUACACACCGCCCGUCACGUCAUGAAAGUCGGUAACACCCGAAGCC
Molecule: ribosomal RNA, 1334 nt
Filed under: Mycobacterium sp. DWMJ-1508B2
Lineage: Bacteria; Bacillati; Actinomycetota; Actinomycetes; Mycobacteriales; Mycobacteriaceae
Description: bacterial SSU rRNA
Rfam family: Bacterial small subunit ribosomal RNA
Source: RNAcentral